Molecule: long non-coding RNA, 4218 nt
Organism: Hemicordylus capensis (graceful crag lizard)
Lineage: Eukaryota; Metazoa; Chordata; Lepidosauria; Squamata; Cordylidae
Exons: 4
Source: RefSeq, a predicted model, not a curated record
CUCCCCUCUCAUUCAUGGCUUUAACCUCCGAGGCUGGAAAUGAGAGGGUUUAAGGAGCAUGCGCAGGGAUAACGUUUCGACUUCGCGUCUCGGUCGGUAAUCUAGAUGCGUCCACCCACAAACAAGAUGGGAGGAAUGGGUAAUGUGUGUUGAGUGUUCCCGGCAAUGGGAUGGACGGAGGUGUUGUUUCCGGGAAACAUAUGACUAAAGCAGCUACUCAUAAUGAUGAUGCCAGGAUUCCCAGGGCUCAGCCCCAGAACAUAAUACCAGAGGGAGUGCCAAAUCUCAGCCCCAUACUUAUGGGAGGGGGAAAAAAUCUGGCAACCUUAUGGUGGUUUCGACUAUGCUGGUGAUGAUGGUAGGUCUCUCUGCCGCAAUCCUGCAGCAUGAAUUGUUUAGUGCUGUCAGAGAUGCACUAGGGGAUGCUGUUCGCAGUGUUUCUACGUGUGUUUUGAGCUGACUUCACUCACAGUUUAGGCGCCUCUCGAUUCCCUAGUUAUCCUUUGAGCUUUCAAGAUCUGGAGUGCUUAAUUGAUGCUGCUAAAACGCUGUUUUAUGAGCGUUGUUGCCUUCUUCCUUUAAACACACGCACUCUCAGCCUUGGAGCAGAUCACAAAAGAAUAAAAAUCAAAUAUAAAGUAUUCACUUAAAAUCCCUGAAACAUCAAAAAGCUAACCUUACAUUGGCUUAAUCCCAGCUGCCUAAAGCCAGCUUGAAUAAAGGUUUACCAUGGUGCCAAGUUACAGUGCAAUCCACACCCCAGUUAAACCAAAGUGCUUCAAUUUAAGCAGAAUAAAUCUCUUAAUUGGGUCCAGGGGCAUAACUAUAAUAGGGCAAGGGGAGACAGUUGUCUGGGGGCCCCACUGCCUUGGGGGCCCCCCCAGAGGCAAGUCACAUGACUGACUCCCUGAGCUGCGCACCCGCCCAGGCUUCCUUCAGUACAAAACCCACAAUUUACAAAACCUUAAAAAAUAAUAAUUUUUAAAUUAUUCAUUUUUAUAAUAAAUUAAAUCAUAAUUUAGGAUGAUGUUCUAUUGUGGCACAUAGGUUUAAGAUUUCUUUACUUCAUGAGCUGAACUUCAGUGGGGGGCAUUUUAAAAUCUUGUCUCUGGGCCCACUCCAACCUUGCUAUUACCCUGAUUGGGUCAAUACAUUAUGAUUGCUGCUUGCAUAGCCUGUGUAUGGUGGUCUUAAGCCCAUAAUGAGCAUAUUAUAUACAUACAACAGACCCCGAUUUAGUUUUAUGUACACAUCAUUGCAAAGCAUUAACACUAAGGUGGUGAUUCUAGGCACACUUUUCUAGAAAUAUGUCUCACCAAAACCAAUUAAAAAUUGUGAUGAGUGGGGAGAUUUUGUUUGUGUUUACUAAGGUUUUUAAAUUUUCUAAUCUCAACAAGAUCUUGUUUCACUGUCACCAUAUGCUCUCUUUUUAAUCAUAACUUUAUUUGAAGGAGUCAGGAUUGGUAAUGCAGUGAUGUAGGCAUGUGGGUACAAACAGAUAGGUACAAACAGGAUUAUGUAUACAAAACUUGAUAUCUGUAGGUAAUUGGGAAGUAUGACUUUAUUUUAUACAAACAAAUGCACAAACUCUUCAAAAUAUAUAUGAUGCAUGUGCAAACCAGCUCACUAUCUGUUAGAGAUUUGAGUAUCCUGAAUAACUCUUUUGGACAGAUUUGCCUAGGACUCUCCUGCACAUUUUAGGUUAGCAGCUUUCUGGCAUUCCUGCAAAAGACAACAAGAGUGGCUGAUUUAUCAUCUAAGGUGUGGCACACAAGCAUCUUCAGUAUGUCUUUCUUUUAGAAUAUAUUUAUUUAUACACAAAGUGAUAGUUUCACUUAGAACUCAAAGGCAUUUUAAAUAUGUCAUUGUAUCUCUCUUUUUGAAAUCCCAGUGAAGCAGAAAUCAUGUUUAUUUUAAUAUUACAAAAGGGGGUGGGGGAGGAGAAGGCAAGUCGAUUUAAAAUUCAAAGCAAUUACAUGCUUCACGUCAGCAUUGUAUAAUUCCCUGCUAUUAUGCAUAAUGACACUAAAUUAAUGAAGUAUCACUUGUUCUAGAACUGCUACAAGCCACCUGCUUGACCUCCCCUCACUCCCAGACAUUUCUGUGAAAUGAUGGACUGUUGAGGCAGGUUGAGGACAUUCAGUACAGCUUGCCAUGAGUCAGAACAGCAGCCUCGUUCUCCUGAAGGGGCUCUUUCCUCCCUCAUGACCCCUCUCCUCAACAAUCAAGAACAUCUUCCGACCAACUGACCUUAGCCAUCACAGGCUCCUCCUCCCUAUCUGCAUAUGGAAUCUCCACUGUCCAAUCACCAUGGUGCUUCUGCUCGCAAACUCUCACAAGAUCUGCCAUGCACAGGAUUAUCCACUGAUCGCUGGUUGGUGGAUGAUUGUCGGUUUCUUAGUCAUUCAGGAAUUGCUGCUCUAACCAUCCAGGAGGAAAACAAGAACAAGCACAGGAUUAAGCUGGAAGUGCUGACCAGAGAUAAGGAAUAAACUAACAAUUAAAAAAAAGCAAAGCAGCCACUAUGCAAGAGUGUAUUCAGCUGUUAUAGCAAUAAACGUUCAAAUAUGAUGUCGGUCACAGGAAGAAAAAUGGCUUACUGUAAGUUGUUAUGGCAACUAAGCUCUUACACAGUAACUCAGCAAAUGCAACUCCACCUCAACCAGAGCUUUGUGAAAUAGUUUCCUUAGGUGAAACAAUUUUUUCAAAAGCAUUUUAUAAGACAGGAACACAAACCCAGUGUAAUUUGCAUUAACAUUAGGCAGAAAUGGGAUCUACAGAGAUCCAGUGCAUUUUAAUACACAUUAGAGCUGUGCAGUCUGCAUUGUACGGCACUUCGUGUCUGUACUGACUGGUCCAGGACAAGUGCAUGCUGGUGCUUUAGAUAUGGCCAUAUGUUAGGUGGGGCUCCCCUGCACCACACUAUUUCUAUUUAAAUAGGAAUUUGCAUCAUGCUAACCAUCCUUAUGCCAGCUCCAAACUAUGGACAUUGGCUGACAUUCUGACUACUGCAGGGUGUGUGCUUCUAAUAUCAGCACACCUGCAGCAUAGUCCCUGUGCUGGUCCUUGCACUUCUGAAAAGUGGGCAGUCUUACACAAUAUGAUAGGAGCACACACACAGCAGUAGUCAGGAUGUCAGCCAAUGAGCCUCAAGUAGCACUUAAGAUCUUUUUCAAAGAAUGAAAGCACAGAUGAGGAAGUCUUGUCAUAGAUCGGAUUGGCCAUGAAACUGGUCAAAAAAAGAUGGUCAGUGUUUAAGAACAUAAUAAGAACGUAAAGAAAAGCCCUGUUGGAUCAGGCCCAAGGCCCAUCUAAUCCAGCAUCCUGUUUCCACAGUGGCCCACCAGAUGCCUCUGUUCGACCAAUGGUAAAGUAUUCUUAGCAUUAACUUUAUUCCAACUAAAAAUAUUUUGGCUUUCCCUAACUCUCCAUACUAUAAUGCCUCGUUCACAGUAGUAUUGCAUAUAUCUUUUUAACUAGAACCUUUGUAAUUUUCAUUAGCUACUGUUUUUCUGGACCCAACCCUAAGCCCUCACAGAAGCUUUAUAAAGCAGAUAGCUAAAUCACAUAAAUGAAAGAGCUGGGGAAAAGGGAUUACUUCCAGGUUAUUUCAGCAAGCAAAAUGGAAUCAUGUCUGAUCCUAGGCAGAACUUUGUUAUGCUACUAGUUUGCUAUGGAGCUAAAAGGAAAACAGCCUUUGUUCCUGUCCUUGCUUACAAGACUGCCAAAAGGGCAACUGCUAGGAGCAGGACUUUUUUGCUGGUGGAACCAACACUACAGAAAAUCCUCACCAAAAAGGUGCCAACUCCAACAUAGGCUUCUUUUUCAGUGAGCUGUUCCUUAGAGUAACUCUGUUUUUAGCUUUUGUCUGAAAUACUGUGCUUAUGCAUUGCUACUGUGCUACAGUUGUGUUUCUGGUUCUGUUGUAUAGGAAGUUUUUUAGUUCUACUAUUGCUAAUACUAUUGCUAUUAAAACGUAUUUGUUUGGCCUGGCUUUCCAGUGUUUUUAAAUCUGUUUUAAUAUUCUAACCUGAUUUUGGGGCUUUUACUCACUGUAAUUGUUUAAUUGUUGUUUUAAAAUGUUUUUAAAUUGUUAAUUGUUUUUAUAUUGUUUUUAAUUUGUUUUAGCUCUUUAUUGUUUUAGUAGUUUGUUUUAAUUGUAAACUGCCCUGAGCCAUUUUGGAAGGGUGGUAUAUAAAUCAAUCAAUCAAUCAAUCA